AAACUUUCAACAACGGAUCUCUUGGUUCCGGCAUCGAUGAAGAACGCAGCGAAAUGCGAUAAGUAGUGUGAAUUGCAGAAUUCCGUGAAUCAUCGAAUCUUUGAACGCACAUUGCGCCCUCUGGUAUUCCGGAGGGCAUGCCUGUCCGAGCGUCAUUG
RNAcentral lists this ribosomal RNA (158 nucleotides) under Renispora flavissima. RNAcentral describes it as "5.8S ribosomal RNA". It matches the Rfam family "5.8S ribosomal RNA". From Rfam's summary of the family: 5.8S ribosomal RNA (5.8S rRNA) is a component of the large subunit of the eukaryotic ribosome. Lineage: Eukaryota; Fungi; Ascomycota; Eurotiomycetes; Onygenales; Onygenaceae. The record is from RNAcentral.